AAAUCAUACUAUAAACUAAAGCUCUUAAAAUCUAAUAUUUAGGUAGUGUGACAAAUUAAAUAGUAAUAUGUAGAAGAAUGUACUAGAUCUAAAUAAGUUUUAUGGGGUUUCUGAUUUUUUUAAUUUUUUUAAAUUUUUUUUUUUUUUUGGUAGAGAGUAAUGAAACCAACUAAAUCCGUAUUUUAUAUUGAAGUCCAUGACCUAGUCAUUAGGCAUGGAACCGAAAGAUUUAAGUCAAUUCAAUAUCCAUUUUAUUAUGAAUCGACACACAUCAUCAAUUAAAAAAGCAACUCGAUCUACUCAAGACUUUGUAUAAAUUAUAGGUCGUGUGAC
RNAcentral lists this long non-coding RNA (333 nucleotides) under Capsella rubella. Its description in RNAcentral is "long non-coding RNA (CRUB_LNC004857)". The record is from RNAcentral. Lineage: Eukaryota; Viridiplantae; Streptophyta; Magnoliopsida; Brassicales; Brassicaceae.